RNAcentral lists this ribosomal RNA (253 nucleotides) under Segatella copri DSM 18205. Its description in RNAcentral is "Prevotella copri DSM 18205 partial 16S ribosomal RNA". It matches the Rfam family "Bacterial small subunit ribosomal RNA", at positions 524 to 776 of the family's 1533-position model. The record is from RNAcentral. Lineage: Bacteria; Pseudomonadati; Bacteroidota; Bacteroidia; Bacteroidales; Prevotellaceae.
UACGGAAGGUCCGGGCGUUAUCCGGAUUUAUUGGGUUUAAAGGGAGCGUAGGUCGGAGAUUAAGCGUGUUGUGAAAUGUAGACGCUCAACGUCUGCACUGCAGCGCGAACUGGUUUCCUUGAGUACGCACAAAGUGGGCGGAAUUCGUGGUGUAGCGGUGAAAUGCUUAGAUAUCACGAAGAACUCCGAUUGCGAAGGCAGCUCACUGGAGCGCAACUGACGCUGAAGCUCGAAAGUGCGGGUAUCGAACAGG